Small nucleolar RNA from Cercocebus atys (sooty mangabey), 68 nucleotides. The record is from Ensembl. Lineage: Eukaryota; Metazoa; Chordata; Mammalia; Primates; Cercopithecidae.
UGAUGAAUUGAUGACAGUCAUCUUUAGGAGUGACCUGAAAUGAAGAGAAUACUCACUGCUGAUCACUU